Molecule: ribosomal RNA, 366 nt
Filed under: uncultured bacterium
Lineage: Bacteria
Description: bacterial SSU rRNA
Rfam family: Bacterial small subunit ribosomal RNA
Source: RNAcentral
GGAGGGGCUAGCGUUGUUCGGAAUUACUGGGCGUAAAGAGCGCGUAGGCGGUUUACAAAGUUGGAAGUGAAAGCCCGAGGCUCAACCUCGGAAUUGCUUACAAAACUCAUAAGCUAGAGAGCGACAGGGGAUGGUGGAAUUCCUAGUGUAGAGGUGGAAUUCUUAGAUAUUAGGAGGAACACCGGUGGCGAAGGCGGCCAUCUGGGUCGAAUCUGACGCUGAGGCGCGAAAGCGUGGGAGCAAACAGGAUUAGAUACCCCUGGUAGUCCACGCUGUAAACGAUGAGUGCUAGAUAUCAGGAUAUAAAUCUUGGUGUCGAAGCUAACGCAUUAAGCACUCCGCCUGGGGAGUACGGCCGCAAGGCUA